UUAAAGGCAUGCACCACCACUGCCCAACCCUAAACACUUUUAUUUACUGGAGUUUUGUAUUUUCUUCUGAGAUUUUGUUGGUAUAUGCCUUAUAAUUAUAUUUGAUUUAUACUUGACAUAUGAUGGAUACAUUUGGAGCCUAUUUUCAUAUGACUUAACACAAUGUUUGAGUCAAAUGAAGUAUCGACUUUAUGUUUACAGAAUUAUCUUUGUGUAUGUGUGUAUGCUUGCUUGUCUGCAUGUGCACUGUUUAUGCUGUGCCCUCAGGCCAGAUGAGAGUGUCCUCAGUACAAAACACUUGAAUGUUUACAAAAAGCAAUAUAAUUUUUUUUCUGUCGUUUAUAGUUGGGACGGAAGAAUCUGUUGCCAAAUCUACAGCUGCACAGAUACGCGUUCUCUUCUCAGCUCUAAGUUUUCAGUGAACUGUAUAAGGUGAAUGUGUCUCUUAGGAGCAUUUGUCUGGGAGUGUCUGGGAUAAGCCGGGGCUGCACAGAUAGACCAUGCCCUCCAAAGGCCUCAGAGCAGCCCGGCCUGCAUCAUGUCCAGAGCAUCAAGCAUGAAGUACAUCUAGUCUACAAAAGUGAUAAGUAAAUCUAAAAAAAACUCUCAAGGAUCCUAUUUUUAAAAUAAACAUUAAAAAAAUCAAGGAAAACUAA
Molecule: non-coding RNA, 656 nt
Organism: Myodes glareolus (Bank vole)
Lineage: Eukaryota; Metazoa; Chordata; Mammalia; Rodentia; Cricetidae
Source: RefSeq, a predicted model, not a curated record